Molecule: transfer RNA, 83 nt
Filed under: Schistocephalus solidus
Lineage: Eukaryota; Metazoa; Platyhelminthes; Cestoda; Diphyllobothriidea; Diphyllobothriidae
Rfam family: tRNA
About the family: Transfer RNA (tRNA) molecules are approximately 80 nucleotides in length.
Source: Rfam by way of RNAcentral
GGCCUCGUAGCUCAGGUGGUUAGGGCGUUGGUUGUACGCAAGCCUUCCUCUUGCAGUCAUGGGUUCGAAUCCCACCGAGGCCG